CACUAUCGUUAACUGAAUACAUAGGUUAACGAGGCGAACCGGGGGAACUGAAACAUCUAAGUACCCCGAGGAAAAGAAAUCAACCGAGAUUCCCCCAGUAGCGGCGAGCGAACGGGGAGCAGCCCAGAGUCUGAAUCAGCUUGUGUGUUAGUGGAACGGUCUGGAAAGUCCGACGGUACAGGGUGAUAGUCCCGUACACCAAAAUGCACAGGCUGUGAACUCGAAGAGUAGGGCGGGACACGUGGUAUCCUGUCUGAAUAUGGGGGGACCAUCCUCCAAGGCUAAAUACUCCUGACUGACCGAUAGUGAACCAGUACCGUGAGGGAAAGGCGAAAAGAACCCCGGCGAGGGGAGUGAAAAAGAACCUGAAACCGUGUACGUACAAGCAGUGGGAGCACCUUCGGGUGUGACUGCGUACCUUUUGUAUAAUGGGUCAGCGACUUAUAUUCUGUAGCAAGGUUAACCGUAUAGGGGAGCCGCAGGGAAACCGAGUCUUAACUGGGCGUUAAGUUGCAGGGUAUAGACCCGAAACCCGGUGAUCUAGCCAUGGGCAGGUUGAAGGUUGGGUAACACUAACUGGAGGACCGAACCGACUAAUGUUGAAAAAUUAGCGGAUGACUUGUGGCUGGGGGUGAAAGGCCAAUCAAACCGGGAGAUAGCUGGUUCUCCCCGAAAGCUAUUU
Molecule: ribosomal RNA, 682 nt
Filed under: Klebsiella pneumoniae
Lineage: Bacteria; Pseudomonadati; Pseudomonadota; Gammaproteobacteria; Enterobacterales; Enterobacteriaceae
Description: partial 23S ribosomal RNA
Rfam family: Bacterial large subunit ribosomal RNA
Source: RNAcentral